CUUCGCCUUGCUGCUACGGUGCUCCAAACCCAAUCCCAUGAUUUUACGACGUCGCCUCGGCUCGUUCGGCGAACCCGAAGCCUAAACGUCCGUUUCUUUAAUAACUUUGUAACGGCUCGUCGGAUUGCCGAACCGUCUUCGCCAACGUGUUUCGUUACCUACCAAUUAGGUUUACAGAGGGUUAAAAGAGAUCAAACCCUCAUAUAUAUCAAAACGCCAUUUUUGACGCCCUAGAUGCUAAUAUUGCAAAAUACCCCAAAUCGAUCUCCGAUUCAAGCAAUAAACAUCUAUCUAGCAUCAAAGGAGCCUACUAAACUCAUUUCUAGAGAUCAAAACCCUACAUCUA
This 346-nucleotide long non-coding RNA is filed under the name Ananas comosus (pineapple). RNAcentral describes it as "long non-coding RNA (ACOM_LNC039687)". Lineage: Eukaryota; Viridiplantae; Streptophyta; Magnoliopsida; Poales; Bromeliaceae. The record is from RNAcentral.